CUUGCACCACCCCCAGGAAGGAGCUCCUUAAUCCAUCACAUCGGCUGAUAUUCUUCUUUAUGUCCAAACCCCUCAGAGUGAUAUCCAAGACCCUCAGGUCUGGCUCUUCCCCUCUCUUCCAGCCACAUCAUUCCUCUUCCUCAGACACACCCUAUGCUCUAGCCAAUCCCAGCCACUUCCAGCUCCUCCUGUUCUCAGGCUGUUUCAGUGUUCUCUGCUCCUGCAUGCUGGACUCCUGAGCCAGGAGGCUCUUUCACUCCGUGGCCCUUCUGCUCAUUCUUCAAGUCCCUGAGUGACCAGUGGUCCUCCUUUCUGAAGGCUCUUGCUACAAAGGAAAGAUGAGGAUAUUCUAUUUCUUGAUCCCUCUCAGCUACUGGGAGCUGCUUUGUGCCUUGGAAGCCUCAAGCUGAAAUGGAUGUCAGCCUCAAGUUUAACUCCAAGAGGGUUCACCUUGUUUCUUUGAACAAAAUGUGCUGCCUGUUGCUUCCCUUUGCCAGGAGUGGUGUUCCCUUUUCCACAGGUCUGGACCACAGUGUCUCUAGCUCCCGCUCCUGGAUACUUGGUUACUGUGUGUUUCGGUAAAAAAGCAUCCACAACAUGAAUAUCCACUAAGCUGUAACAGGGCCUGCUGCAACUAUAGUAUUUCCUGAAAAAGUAUCAACUGCCACAAGGGCCACAAAUAAAGUCUGUGAACUUGAAAUAACCAUGGAGAAUGAAAUGUUCUGAUUCAGAUCAUCGGUGGGAUUUCACUGGGAAAUCUCCCACUGGGCAAGAGUAGAUGAUGGAGGAGGAGAAACAGUCACUAGAAAAAGGUGAUACUUUGUAUCAAGAAACAAUUAAAAAUUAGAUCACAUCCUGAAACAUUAAGCAUAUGCUCCUUUGUGAGGCUUGCCUGGCUGAACUUGAACUGGAUUGAGUGAAUAAUUUCUUAAAAACAAUCAAAAUCACAGAUUUAUUCUAUUUUAAAUACUUAUAUUUACUUAUAUUUCAUUCAGAAAUUAGUUAACAAAUAAUUUUUGAGUAUCCUGGGAACUGUUCUAAUCAUUAAACAUGCAAGUUUGAAGAAAGUAAGGAUGAAUCUGCCUGCGUGGGGCUCUCAAUCUAGCGAGAAGCAGAUAAGAAGACAAAUGUCAGGGAAGAUCACACAACCUUCAGAAUUCAUGUUGAACCAUAAUCCACAAUGCAACAGUAUCAAGAGGUGUGGCCUUUAGGAGCUGAUUAGGCCACGAAGGCUCUGCCUCAUGGAUGGGAUCACCCUUAUAAAAAGACUUGAUGGAGUGCAUUCAGUCCCUUUUUUGCUCCUUCCAUUCCUUCCACCUUGUGGGAAUACAGCAUGCCCUCUGGAAGAUGCAGCAACACAGCACCAUUUUGGAUGCAGAGACCACAUUCUUGCAAGACACCAAACCUGCUAAUGCCUUGAUUUUGGACUUCCAGCCUCCAGAACUAUAAGAAAUAUAUUUCUGUUCUUUAUAAAUGACCCAGUCUCAGGUAUUUUGUUACUGCCAUAGGAACAGACUAAGACAGGGCCCAAAUUGCCCCAUCUGUGGAUUUCAGAGGUCCCUGAUCUGAAUGGCAGAAGAGGAGUUUGCUGUGCCUAUCUGCUGAACUGUACACCACUCCCGUACAAAAAGGCCAUGAGGCUCUGGCAGUGCCUGCUCUACAUACCAGGUUUGUUUGAGUAACCAAAGGACUCAUCAAAGGCUGCUUAACCACUGCUAGUUGUUAGCAGAGAUGGGCAGAAAGAAUCAUUUUCACUUCCUUGUCAUUUCCUAAAACUGCCCCUCCCAAGGAUUAGGAACAGGCACAUCCCCACCAUGAGUGAUCAGGGCUCUAUAAGGUGCAUUUGUGCAUCACAUCAACACUCAUUAAAAACAAUGAGACAGUAACUGCAAAAAGACAUUACUUCACCCCGGCAGCAAGUUCCCAGGGGCAAACUUGCCAUCUGCUAGGCAGCGCUAGGAACCAGAAAACUUUUGAAGCAAUUCAGUUGGAUCCUCCAGCUUUGAAGCAUCUGGUUGGUAACUGUGCUAUCAGCAUGAAGUUACCUUCUCAGUUUCAAACACCCCAGUGUUGGAACCUGAAGAUAGAAUUCCUGUGGUUUAGACACAAAUGCCUGCUACUAGGAUUUACAGAUGGGGCUCUCCUUUAAGUCUUAGGAGACAUGGCUCAGAAAUGAUCAUGCAAUCUCUCAACAAUUUCUCAGGAAUGACCAACAGUCUCUCAGAAUACAGCAAAACAUCUGUUUCUUACAUGUAACUCCACCGAACACAGGCUGCCUUCCCCAUACACAUGUUUUUCUGGCGGGGAUUGUAUGACAUGUGAAUUCAAAGGACCAUUUCUUUUGCCCCAUGACAAGCCUUUCAGAGGGUGAAGUGCUUGGAUUUAGAGUGAUUCUCCUUAGAGGAUUUACCCCCAGUUGUUGAAAUAUGGCAAAUACCAAGUGUCCACGAUUUAUUAUAAGACAAUAAAGUGAUUGUUCCUUAUGGAGUACUCCCUACACUCUGGAGAAAAGCAAACAAUAGCAUGUGUUCUUUCUUCCUCUUAGAAAAUAGUCUAGUCUUUUAAAAUUCCCCUUGACUGCAUAGAGGUUUGUUAUCUUUCAAGGUCCUGUUCAAAUGUUG
This 2621-nucleotide long non-coding RNA is filed under the name Homo sapiens (human). RNAcentral's name for it is "HSALNT0179400". Lineage: Eukaryota; Metazoa; Chordata; Mammalia; Primates; Hominidae. The record is from RNAcentral.